CCUACGGGUGGCAGCAGUGAGGAAUAUUGCUCAAUGGGCGCGAGCCUGAACCAGCCAAGUAGCGUGAAGGAUGACUGCCCUACGGGUUGUAAACUUCUUUUAUAAGGGAAUAAAGUGAGGCACGUGUGCCUUUUUGUAUGUACUUUAUGAAUAAGGAUCGGCUAACUCCGUGCCAGCAGCCGCGGUAAUACGGAGGUUCCGGGCGUUAUCCGGAUUUAUUGGGUUUAAAGGGAGCGUAGAUGGGUUGUUAAGUCAGAUGUGAAAGUUUGCGGCUCAACCGUAGAAUUGCAGUUGAUACUGGCAGUCUUGAGUACAGUUGAGGUAGGCGGAAUUCGUGGUGUAGCGGUGAAAUGCGUAGAUAUCACGAAGAACUCCGAUUGCGAAGGCAGCUUACUGAACUGACACUGACGUUGAUGCUCGAAAGUGUGGGUAGCAAACAGGAUUAGAUACCCCUGUAGUC
Molecule: ribosomal RNA, 460 nt
Filed under: uncultured bacterium
Lineage: Bacteria
Description: partial 16S ribosomal RNA
Rfam family: Bacterial small subunit ribosomal RNA
Source: RNAcentral